GGCGAUGCUCGGCGGACACUUUGAAACGGUUUCCUAAACCGCGUGUCGGACGUUCGAUUCGUCUCGGGGCCACCA
RNAcentral lists this transfer RNA (75 nucleotides) under Bacillota bacterium. RNAcentral describes it as "Firmicutes bacterium (anaerobic digester metagenome) tRNA-Ser". Lineage: Bacteria; Bacillati; Bacillota. The record is from RNAcentral.